CACUGCUUCUGAAAGACAGCCUGUGAGAUGCCAAGGAGUCAUCUGGCAGAGCUGGGAGAUGCGGCCUUUUCUUUGGAUCCUGUCAAUGGCAAACCACCAAAGCUGGUGCAUUGGUGUGGUAGCCCUGCUGUGUUCACGGAAGAAUUCCAACCGACGCCAGAUACGACAACCCGACUCAACUCACUAGGGGUUUGGAGCCUAUGGAAAUGAAUCAGAACCAGAUACCCGGCUUCCUAGGAAGCCGUGAACUUUGAUCUCCGUCCCUGUCCCGGAAUCCUUUGUAUUAGCGUCUUAGCUUUGAUUCUGCCGAAUGUCUGUUCUCACCUAGUCGCUAUAUGCAUACCUGAGUUGCCUCUAUGUACUCACCUAGUUGUUAUAUGCAUACCUGAGUUGCCUCUUGUAUAAAUAUCCCGUUUCACUAAGUAAAGAUUACGCCUUGAUGAGAA
Mastomys coucha (southern multimammate mouse) is the source of this 446-nucleotide long non-coding RNA. RefSeq lists it as uncharacterized. The transcript has 2 exons. The record is from RefSeq and is a predicted model, not a curated record. Lineage: Eukaryota; Metazoa; Chordata; Mammalia; Rodentia; Muridae.